This 782-nucleotide long non-coding RNA is filed under the name Parus major (Great Tit). RNAcentral's name for it is "lncRNA (ENSPMJG00000014529.1)". Lineage: Eukaryota; Metazoa; Chordata; Aves; Passeriformes; Paridae. The record is from RNAcentral.
CCUGCAGCAAGUCUGUCAUCCACCGUGAUCCUGAUGUUGCAAGAAGCAGCUUAAAAAUAUCAUCAGGGCAUUGAUGCUGACUUAAAAGCAGUGUUAUAUUAUUGGGAUAUAUUUCCAGUGUUGCUCAAUCUCCCUGAAAUACAUCUCUCUGAAAUUCAAAGGGGAAAAGUGGCUGUAUGGGGUUAAUCUUGAAAUUUUACAGAAGACUUUAGAUCAAAUCAAAACCCUCGGCUAUUGGUGAACCACAGGUUCUCCUUGAUCGUGUAAGUCCUUCCAUCACCCACUCCAGCACAGCACUUCUGAAAUGCAGAAAUCUGUCACUUCUCAGAUAAAGCCACUAAUCCACCUCUCUCCUUGACACAUUCUCUGUUCAGUGGGCAGAUUUCUUAUAUGGAUAUUUUCUGUCACUUUUGCCAGUACUACCUCUGUGUCAUAAGCUGAUGGCUUUAACCAGUGAUUUUCUGUUUUUCAGAUUCGACGCAGAAAUCCAAACACCUCUCUGUGAAGUGUUUCCAGAGUUUAUCCCCUGCUGAAAGUCUCCUCAAGUUACAGCAACCUAACUGCUGGAAGAUACUCAUGGAUAAAGGAGAGUAUUUUGAGGAUGCUCAGGUUUUCUCCACAAGAUCCAUCUGUCUCAAAUUACUACUGGACUUCUUCUGGCUUUGACAGCCUCUAAUUUCAUCCAGUCAUGUAUGGCAACACACACUAUAUUGUUUUAGAUUUGUCAGAUUUGAUGGUGCCUUGUUGAUGUUUUGCUCUCAAAUCAUGGUGUCAUUCUCUUU